RNAcentral lists this ribosomal RNA (839 nucleotides) under Knufia sp. LS-2015d. RNAcentral's name for it is "SSU rRNA". It matches the Rfam family "Eukaryotic small subunit ribosomal RNA", at positions 250 to 1093 of the family's 1831-position model. The record is from RNAcentral. Lineage: Eukaryota; Fungi; Ascomycota; Eurotiomycetes; Chaetothyriales; Trichomeriaceae.
UUCAUAAUAACUCAACGAAUCGCAUGGCCUUGCGCCGGCGAUGGUUCAUUCAAAUUUCUGCCCUAUCAACUUUCGAUGGUAUGGUCUUGGCUUACCAUGGUCUCAACGGGUAACGGGGAAUUAGGGUUCGAUUCCGGAGAGGGAGCCUGAGAAACGGCUACCACAUCCAAGGAAGGCAGCAGGCGCGCAAAUUACCCAAUCCCAAUUCGGGGAGGUAGUGACAAUAAAUACUGAUACAGGGCUCUUUUGGGUCUUGUAAUUGGAAUGAGUACAAUCUAAAUCCCUUAACGAGGAACAAUUGGAGGGCAAGUCUGGUGCCAGCAGCCGCGGUAAUUCCAGCUCCAAUAGCGUAUAUUAAAGUUGUUGCCGUUAAAAAGCUCGUAGUUGAACCUUGGGCCUGGCUGAUCUGUCCUCCUAAUCGAGCGUACGGAUUCGGUCGGGCCUUUCCUUCUGGGGAGCCCGAUGCCCUUCACUGGGCGUCGCGGGGAACCAGGACUUUUACCUUGAAAAAAUUAGAGUGUUCAAAGCAGGCCUUUGCUCGAAUACAUUAGCAUGGAAUAAUAGAAUAGGACAGAGGUUCUAUUUUGUUGGUUUCUAGGACCGCUGUAAUGAUUAAUAGGGAUAGUCGGGGGCGUCCGUAUUCAAUUGUCAGAGGUGAAAUUCUUGGAUUUAUUGAAGACGAACUACUGCGAAAGCAUUCGCCAAGGAUGUUUUCAUUAAUCAGUGAACGAAAGUUAGGGGAUCGAAGACGAUCAGAUACCGUCGUAGUCUUAACCAUAAACUAUGCCGACUAGGGAUCGGACGGUGGUUUUUUUAUGCCCCCGUUCGGCACCUUACGA